GACGAACGCUGGCGGCGUGCUUAACACAUGCAAGUCGAACGGAAAGGCCCUGCUUUUGUGGGGUGCUCGAGUGGCGAACGGGUGAGUAACACGUGAGUAACCUGCCCUUGACUUUGGGAUAACUUCAGGAGACUGGGGCUAAUACCGGAUAGGAGCUCCUGCUGCAUGGUGGGGGUUGGAAAGUUUCGGCGGUUGGGGAUGGACUCGCGGCUUAUCAGCUUGUUGGUGGGGUAGUGGCUUACCAAGGCUUUGACGGGUAGCCGGCCUGAGAGGGUGACCGGCCACAUUGGGACUGAGAUACGGCCCAGACUCCUACGGGAGGCAGCAGUGGGGAACAUUGCACAAUGGGCGGAAGCCUGAUGCAGCAACGCCGCGUGCGGGAUGACGGCCUUCGGGUUGUAAACCGCUUUCGCCUGUGACGAAGCGUGAGUGACGGUAAUGGGUAAAGAAGCACCGGCUAACUACGUG
RNAcentral lists this ribosomal RNA (468 nucleotides) under uncultured bacterium. Its description in RNAcentral is "partial 16S ribosomal RNA". It matches the Rfam family "Bacterial small subunit ribosomal RNA", at positions 28 to 507 of the family's 1533-position model. The record is from RNAcentral.